AGCCCCGAGGUGUGACAUGUCAGACUGCAAAUCUGAAGACGACCUUUGGGUCCGGGGCUU
This 60-nucleotide transfer RNA is filed under the name Chilabothrus argentum (Conception Bank silver boa). Its description in RNAcentral is "tRNA-Cys". The record is from RNAcentral. Lineage: Eukaryota; Metazoa; Chordata; Lepidosauria; Squamata; Boidae.